ACCAGUCAGAGAAUGGUGGUUUCUAUCGAACUGGCAGGAAAUAGGUCCACAGUGAAGAAGUUCAAAAAAUUGAUGAUCAUAUGCAAAAGGAACAAGAACAACAACUAAAUUUUGCUGAAGCAAUGUGCGGGAAAGAAGAUAAUGAACAUGUACAUGCACAUUCUGAUCAAGAGGAGUCAGAAGCCUCUUCUCAAGAUGAACGACAACAGUGUGACGAAGAAGAAGAGGCCCUGGACUACCAGGUUUCACAGGAAGUUGUAAAGGUGAAGAAAAAAAGAAGAAGGAAAAAGAAGUCAGAGCGGGUGGAUUUAUCACCCUCAAGGAGGUCCGAUAGAGUUGCUGCAAUAACGCAGCUAAAGAAUACAAAGUUAUGC
This 374-nucleotide long non-coding RNA is filed under the name Amborella trichopoda. Its description in RNAcentral is "long non-coding RNA (ATRI_LNC002108)". The record is from RNAcentral. Lineage: Eukaryota; Viridiplantae; Streptophyta; Magnoliopsida; Amborellales; Amborellaceae.